Nemania sp. FL0916 is the source of this 104-nucleotide non-coding RNA. The record is from the annotation of a GenBank genome assembly. Lineage: Eukaryota; Fungi; Ascomycota; Sordariomycetes; Xylariales; Xylariaceae.
GGUUUCGUGGCCCAAUGGCAAGGCGUCUGACUACGACGAAGAAUCCAUUCAGUGGACACUUCACGAUAAUCAGGAGAUUCUGGGUUCGACCCCCAGCGAGAUCA